RNAcentral lists this ribosomal RNA (235 nucleotides) under uncultured bacterium. RNAcentral's name for it is "partial 16S ribosomal RNA". It matches the Rfam family "Bacterial small subunit ribosomal RNA", at positions 96 to 334 of the family's 1533-position model. The record is from RNAcentral.
UGGCGGACGGGUGAGUAAUGUCUGGGAAACUGCCCGAUGGAGGGGGAUAACUACUGGAAACGGUAGCUAAUACCGCAUAACGUCGCAAGACCAAAGAGGGGGACCUUCGGGCCUCUUGCCGUCGGAUGUGCCCAGAUGGGAUUAGCUAGUAGGUGGGGUAAAGGCUCACCUAGGCGACGAUCCCUAGCUGGUCUGAGAGGAUGACCAGCCACACUGGAACUGAGACACGGUCCAG